This 200-nucleotide unclassified non-coding RNA is filed under the name Inocybe sp. RNAcentral's name for it is "partial internal transcribed spacer 2". The record is from RNAcentral. Lineage: Eukaryota; Fungi; Basidiomycota; Agaricomycetes; Agaricales; Inocybaceae.
UUAAGUUCAGCGGGUAGUCCUACCUGAUUUGAGGUCAAGUUUGUCAAAGGUUUUUUUCCAAGUUUUAAGCAGCGCAAUCUGUCUCAUGCAGCAUACCAAAGGCAUAGAUAGUUAUCACACCUACAGUAGCAGCUCAGAUGCCACUAAUACAUUUCAGAGGAGCUGACCCUUCUUUUGCAAAAAAGGCCUGCAAAGAUAUU